This 1949-nucleotide ribosomal RNA is filed under the name Triticum aestivum (bread wheat). RNAcentral describes it as "partial small subunit ribosomal RNA". Lineage: Eukaryota; Viridiplantae; Streptophyta; Magnoliopsida; Poales; Poaceae. The record is from RNAcentral.
UCUGCCUCCUCCGCCGCGCCGCCACAGCCAGGUCAGGUGCGCCUCCUCCGUCAACCCCCGGCCGCGGCAGCGAAGCCGCCGGAUCGAUCGAGACGAUAGCCGCCGCCCUCCCGCUCCCGAGAUUAGGUUUUAAAACGGAUCGAAUAGUAAUCUUUGUCUGGCGGAUAUAACAAGGCCUGCAACCCAGAAGGAGUGCCCUCGUGCAACAGGCAAAAAGUUAUUUCUUUUGUGCUAUGUUGUUUGGUCUCUUUUUGCAGUUGCAGGGGGAGAAACACUAACAUUCUAGUGGGAGGAACACUUCAUCUCUUCAUUUCUGGUUUAACCGUUUUCAACGGUGUGCAGAUUUAUAGGUUAAAAAAAUCGAUCAGAUUACUAGGAGCAGAUCUAGUCCUGAUGAUGCCUGAAGUAGAUCAUGAUUCUUCUGGUCUUCUUUCUAUUGAGCUUGUUGUUAUAAUAUUAACGAGUUUGAAUAAGUGUGCAGAUUAGGUUAAAAAUGGACUGGGAAUAGCUUGUGCUUUAUAAUGUUCCAACCAAACAGUGAGCGUUACAGGGGUAAAUUCACAGGAAUUGUACAUGUUGGUGAUAUUAAAAAAGAUACAUAGGUCUUGUGAGCCUGAUUGGUUUAAUCCUAUAUGUUCCCUUCGAUAUUUUGUCUUCUGUAAUGCACUAUGACGACCUUAAUCGAGCUUCAGCAUCCUCUGAAGUGCUCCCAAAACAAUGGCGGAGCACUUGGCUUCAAUUUUUGGCACGGAGAAGGAUAGGGUCAACUGCCCCUUUUACUUCAAGAUUGGAGCUUGCCGUCAUGGGGAUCGUUGCUCCCGUCUGCACAACAGGCCAACCACAUCGCCAACCAUUGUGCUUGCUAACAUGUACCAGCGGCCUGAUAUGAUUACCCCUGGAGUUGAUGCCCAAGGUGUGGCUAUUGCACCAGAGAAGAUGCAGGAGCACUUUGAGGACUUCUAUGAGGAUAUCUAUGAGGAGCUGAGCAAGUUUGGUGAGGUUGAGACCCUGAAUGUGUGUGACAACCUGGCUGACCACAUGAUCGGGAAUGUCUAUGUCCAGUUCAGGGAGGAGGAGCAGGCAGUGGCUGCUCACAAUGCCCUCCAAGGCCGCUUUUACUCUGGUCGCCCAAUCAUUGUGGAGUACUCUCCUGUGACGGACUUCCGUGAGGCGACCUGCAGGCAGUUUGAGGAGAACAGCUGCAACCGUGGCGGCUACUGCAACUUCAUGCACGUGAAGCAGAUUGGCAGGGAGCUCAGGAGGAAGCUAUAUGGGGGGCGGUCCAGGAGGAGCCACGGGAGGAGCCGCAGCCCAAGCCCACAGCACAGGAGGGACAACCGUGACCGUGGUGGUGACUUCCGCCGUGAUGGCCGGGAUGAAUACCGUGGCGGCGGCGGCGGUGGCGGUUACCGUGGAGGCGAUGGAGGUGAUGGUGGCGGUUACUGUGGAGGCGGUGGUGGUGGCUACCGUGGAGGUGAUGGGGGCGGCUAUCGUGGUGGUGGCGGCGGCGGUUACCGUGGUGGCGGCAGAGGAGGUGGUGGCAGGCAUGAUAGGUAUGAUGAUGGACCGAGGCGCAGGUAUGGUGGCAGCCCGCCACGACGUGGAAGGAGCCCUCCUGCAAGGGAGAACAGUGAGGAGCGCAGGGCCAAGAUCGAGCAGUGGAACCGUGAGAGGGAGGAGAAGUGAUGAAACCGCGAGUAGUGGAACCGCAAGCGUCAUUUUACCUUUUCAUUCUUGUGUCGUUAGUUUGCUCCUAUGUUGAGUAUCUGUUGGUUUGCCGUCAGACAUUAGUGUGGGUCGAUAUAUUACUAUUGCCUUGUUGAGUGACCUGUCAAGUGCAGGAUUCUAGUUGAGGCGUGUAAGCUGCUAUUUGUGCUCGAUAUUUAUCUGCAGGAUUCUCGUAUUAUCUGCCAAGUUUACAGUGUUCUGCUUUUGUUGGUUUGAUCUUA